This 253-nucleotide ribosomal RNA is filed under the name uncultured bacterium. Its description in RNAcentral is "partial 16S ribosomal RNA". It matches the Rfam family "Bacterial small subunit ribosomal RNA", at positions 524 to 776 of the family's 1533-position model. The record is from RNAcentral.
UACGUAGGUGGCGAGCGUUGUCCGGAUUUACUGGGCGUAAAGAGCGCGCAGGCGGUCGUACAAGUCGCGUGUGAAAGCCCCCGGCUCAACUGGGGAGGGUCACGCGAUACUGUUCGACUCGAAGGCAGGAGAGGGUAGUGGAAUUCCCGGUGUAGUGGUGAAAUGCGUAGAUAUCGGGAGGAACACCAGUGGCGAAGGCGGGCAUCUGGGCCAACACUGACGCUGAGGCGCGAAAGCUAGGGGAGCAAACAGG